Molecule: ribosomal RNA, 325 nt
Filed under: uncultured eukaryote
Lineage: Eukaryota
Description: partial 18S ribosomal RNA
Rfam family: Eukaryotic small subunit ribosomal RNA
Source: RNAcentral
CCCUUAGAUGUUCUGGGCCGCACGCGCGCUACACUGAUGCAUUCAACGAGUCCAACCUUGACCGAGAGGUCCGGGUAAUCUUUGAAACUGCAUCGUGAUGGGGCUAGAUUAUUGCAAUUAUUAAUCUUCAACGAGGAAUGCCUAGUAAGCGUGAUUCAUCAAAUCGCGUUGAUUACGUCCCUGCCCUUGUACACACCGCCCGUCGCUCCUACCGAUUGAGUGUGUUGGUGAGGAGUUUGGAUUGGCCUCGGAAGGUGGUUCGCCACCGUCCGUAGCUGAGAAGUUCUCCAAACCGCCCCACUUAGAGGAAGGAGAAGUCGUAACA